GAUGAACGCUGGCGGCGUGCCUAAUACAUGCAAGUCGAGCGAACAGACGAGGAGCUUGCUCCUCUGACGUUAGCGGCGGACGGGUGAGUAACACGUGGAUAACCUGCCUAUAAGACUGGGAUAACUUCGGGAAACCGGAGCUAAUACCGGAUAAUAUAUUGAACCGCAUGGUUCAAUAGUGAAAGACGGUUUUGCUGUCACUUAUAGAUGGAUCCGCGCCGCAUUAGCUAGUUGGUAAGGUAACGGCUUACCAAGGCGACGAUGCGUAGCCGACCUGAGAGGGUGAUCGGCCACACUGGAACUGAGACACGGUCCAGACGCCUACGGGAGGCAGCAGUAGGGAAUCUUCCGCAAUGGGCGAAAGCCUGACGGAGCAACGCCGCGUGAGUGAUGAAGGUCUUCGGAUCGUAAAACUCUGUUAUUAGGGAAGAACAAAUGUGUAAGUAACUAUGCACGUCUUGACGGUACCUAAUCAGAAAGCCACGGCUAACUACGUG
Molecule: ribosomal RNA, 497 nt
Filed under: uncultured bacterium
Lineage: Bacteria
Description: partial 16S ribosomal RNA
Rfam family: Bacterial small subunit ribosomal RNA
Source: RNAcentral